GGGAGUAUAGCUCAGUGGUAGAGCACUUGCCUCAAAUGCAAAAGGCCCUGGGUUCAAUCCCCAACAUCACCA
Peromyscus maniculatus bairdii (prairie deer mouse) is the source of this 72-nucleotide non-coding RNA. NCBI's taxonomy places the organism in Eukaryota, Metazoa, Chordata, Mammalia, Rodentia, Cricetidae. The record is from the annotation of a RefSeq genome assembly.